This 438-nucleotide ribosomal RNA is filed under the name uncultured bacterium. Its description in RNAcentral is "bacterial SSU rRNA". It matches the Rfam family "Bacterial small subunit ribosomal RNA", at positions 339 to 791 of the family's 1533-position model. The record is from RNAcentral.
CUACGGGAGGCAGCAAUUAGGAAUCUUGCGCAAUGGGCGAAAGCCUGACGCAGCGACGCCGCGUGAAGGAUGAAGGCCUUCGGGUUGUAAACUUCUUUUAAGAGGGAAGAAGGAAGUGACGGUACCUCUUGAAUAAGCCCCGGCUAACUACGUGCCAGCAGCCGCGGUAAUACGUAGGGGGCGAGCGUUGUCCGAAUUUACUGGGCGUAAAGCGCGCGUAGGCGGACUUUUAAGUCGGUGGUGAAAUCUUGGGGCUCAACCCUGAAACUGCCGCCGAAACUGGGAGUCUUGAGGUAUGGAGAGGGAAGUGGAAUUCCUGGUGUAGCGGUGAAAUGCGUAGAUAUCAGGAGGAACACCCGUGGCGAAGGCGGCUUCCUGGUCAUAUCCUGACGCUGAGGUGCGAAAGCCAGGGGAGCGAACGGGAUUAGAUACCCCGGU